RNAcentral lists this ribosomal RNA (381 nucleotides) under uncultured bacterium. RNAcentral's name for it is "bacterial SSU rRNA". It matches the Rfam family "Bacterial small subunit ribosomal RNA", at positions 132 to 507 of the family's 1533-position model. The record is from RNAcentral.
AUCACUUGGGAAUAACCUUGCGAAAGUAAGACUAAUGCCCAAUGACAUUUAUAGAAGGCAUCUGAAAUGAAUUAAAGAUUUAUCGGUGAUGGAUGGGGAUGCGUCUGAUUAGCUUGUUGGCGGGGUAACGGCCCACCAAGGCGACGAUCAGUAGGGGUUCUGAGAGGAAGGUCCCCCACAUUGGAACUGAGACACGGUCCAAACUCCUACGGGAGGCAGCAGUGAGGAAUAUUGGUCAAUGGGCGAGAGCCUGAACCAGCCAAGUAGCGUGCAGGAAGACGGCCCUAUGGGUUGUAAACUGUCUUUUAGUAAGGGGAAAUAAAGUGAGCCACGUGUUGGUUUUUGCAUGUACCCUAUGAAUAAGGACCGGCUAAUUCCGUG